AUGAACGCUGGCGGCGUGCCUAAUCCAUGCAAGUCGAGCGAACAGAUGAGGAGCUUGCUCCUCUGACGUUAGCGGCGGACGGGUGAGUAACACGUGGAUAACCUACCUAUAAGACUGGGAUAACUUCGGGAAACCGGAGCUAAUACCGGAUAAUAUAUUGAACCGCGUGGUUCAAUAGUGAAAGACGGUUUUGCUGUCACUUAUAGAUGGAUCCGCGCCGCAUUAGCUAGUUGGUAAGGUAACGGCUUACCAAGGCAACGAUGCGUAGCCGACCUGAGAGGGUGAUCGGCCACACUGGAACUGAGACACGGUCCAGACUCCUACGGGAGGCAGCAGUAGGGAAUCUUCUGCAAUGGGCGAAAGCCUGACGGAGCAACGCCGCGUGAGUGAUGAAGGUCUUCGGAUCGUAAAACUCUGUUAUUAGGGAAGAACAAAUGUGUAAGUAACUAUGCACGUCUUGACGGUACCUAAUCAGAAAGCCACGGCUAACUACGUG
Molecule: ribosomal RNA, 496 nt
Filed under: uncultured bacterium
Lineage: Bacteria
Description: partial 16S ribosomal RNA
Rfam family: Bacterial small subunit ribosomal RNA
Source: RNAcentral